AGAGACCGGGGAAAGGAUAGGGAGAAAUGAGGAGCAGAAGGAAGGUUCUGGGAGAGAAAUAAAGAGGCCGAGAGAGCAGAGCCAGGAGCUGGUGGCGCAGGCAGAUGGAACAACAGAGACAGAGAACAGAGCCAGAGGAGUGGGCACGCAGCAAGGCCUGGCAGCCAAGCCCUGUGGGUUUCCGUGGGAAGCAGAUGCUUCCAGGGACCAGCAACCGAUGGUCCCCAAGCACGUGGAUCCUUGUUGACUCCAGGCCCAGGGCAGCCUCCUCGGCAUCCAGCCUUAGCCUGGAGGAGCAACCCAGGUUCAGAGAGGUAGAUGAACAACAGCCCUGCCCCUGUGGGGCUCCACUGCUUCUCCUCCGUUCUCCCCCAGCCUCCACCACCCCUUUGUGGGUCCUGGGAAGCCAUAAGCUGUCACAUCACGCCUGGAAGAAAGCAGGCUGUGUUGGAGGGGUAAGUGUGAGCCACAGCAUGGGUGUGCAAGUGUGUGCAAGGGUGUGCAAGCUGG
RNAcentral lists this long non-coding RNA (510 nucleotides) under Lynx pardinus (Iberian lynx). Lineage: Eukaryota; Metazoa; Chordata; Mammalia; Carnivora; Felidae. The record is from RNAcentral.